Molecule: transfer RNA, 72 nt
Filed under: Planctomycetota bacterium
Lineage: Bacteria; Pseudomonadati; Planctomycetota
Description: tRNA-Arg
Rfam family: tRNA
About the family: Transfer RNA (tRNA) molecules are approximately 80 nucleotides in length. Their secondary structure includes four short double-helical elements and three loops (D, anti-codon, and T loops).
Source: RNAcentral
GCUUCCAUGGCGUAACAGAUAGCGUCACUGUCUUCUAAACAGUGGGUGAAGGUGCAAUUCCUUCUGGGAGCA